RNAcentral lists this ribosomal RNA (468 nucleotides) under uncultured bacterium. Its description in RNAcentral is "partial 16S ribosomal RNA". It matches the Rfam family "Bacterial small subunit ribosomal RNA", at positions 28 to 507 of the family's 1533-position model. The record is from RNAcentral.
GACGAACGCUGGCGGCGUGCUUAACACAUGCAAGUCGAACGGAAAGGCCCUGCUGUUGUGGGGUGCUCGAGUGGCGAACGGGUGAGUAACACGUGAGUAACCUGCCCUUGACUUUGGGAUAACUUCAGGAAACUGGGGCUAAUACCGGAUAGGAGCUCCUGCUGCAUGGUGGGGGUUGGAAAGUUUCGGCGGUUGGGGAUGGACUCGCGGCUUAUCAGCUUGUUGGUGGGGUAGUGGCUUACCAAGGCUUUGACGGGUAGCCGGCCUGAGAGGGUGACCGGGCACAUUGGGACUGAGAUACGGCCCAGACUGCUACGGGAGGCAGCAGUGGGGAAUAUUGCACAAUGGGCGGAAGCAUGAUGCAGCAACGCCGCGUGCGGGAUGACGGCCUUCGGGUUGUAAACCGCUUUCGCCUGUGACGAAGCGUGAGUGACGGUAAUGGGUAAAGAAGCACCGGCUAACUACGUG